GAUGAACGCUGGCGGCGUGCCUAAUACAUGCAAGUCGAGCGAACAGACGAGGAGCUUGCUCCUCUGACGUUAGCGGCGGACGGGUGAGUAACACGUGGAUAACCUACCUAUAAGACUGGAAUAACUUCGGGAAACCGGAGCUACUACCGGAUAAUAUAUUGAACCGCAUGGUUCAAUAGUGAAAGACGGUUUUGCUGUCACUUAUAGAUGGAUCCGCGCCGCAUUAGCUAGUUGGUAAGGUAACGGCUUACCAAGGCGACGAUGCGUAGACGACCUGAGAGGGUGGUCGGCCACACGGGAACUGAGACACGUUCCAGACUCCUACGGUAGGCAGCAGUAGGGAAUCUUCCGCAAUGGGCGAGAGCCUGACGGAGCAACGCCGCGUGAGUGAUGAAGGUCUUCGGAUCGUAAAGCUCUGUUAUUAGGGAAGAACAAAUGUGUAAGUAACUAUGCACGUCUUGACGGUACCUAAUCAGAAAGCCACGGCUAACUCCGUG
Molecule: ribosomal RNA, 497 nt
Filed under: uncultured bacterium
Lineage: Bacteria
Description: partial 16S ribosomal RNA
Rfam family: Bacterial small subunit ribosomal RNA
Source: RNAcentral